CAGCUAUUUCAUUCAUUCAUUUUAAAUGUGGGUGGGUUAGGAAAGGGAGGAGGGAGUGCUCUGUGUUCAAACUGGAGGGGAAAGGAAAGUAAACUUUGUAUGCAGGAAGCUAAGAGAAUGAGGAGUAAACAUCAUCAGCCCCAUUGCUGCAUUUGUUUAAACUUCUUUUUAUGAUUAGAUUGAGCUUUCCUUUUAGCUUUGUUAUGCUUUAUGGUUGCUGUUUGGCUAUAUUAUUAUAUGCUUUGAAACAAAUAAUGUAGUUAAUUUUCAUUUCAAUAGUGAACUGUUAAAAAGAAAAUCUAGCUUUUGGUCAGAUGGAAGACACCUCAACACAGGAAACCUGUAUUUGUUGGCUUUGUCAUUGCACAGGUUAUACAAGGGAAUAAAUUUGAAAAGCUGAUUAAUUUUCCUGCACAUGAAUUCUGGAUAUCAAUUUUCAACCACACUUCAACCAGGCUAUGUGGUAUGAAGGGUUACAGGAGAGAGGGAGGAAAAUAGCCCUAUAUUAGUCAUGUUUGCAUACAGAGGAUCGAAGUAGGACUUCAACAUAAUACUCCUAAUUAAAAAGGUACUCACUGGAGGAGAGAAAAAGGGGCUUUUCCUCUAGCUGGUAACUAUUCAGAUGAUGGACAAGUCCUCUUUCAUAAAAGCUUACAAAGAAGACAUCCGAAACACGGUCUGUGAUACUGGGUCACAUAUUAAUCACCACAGCUAAUUGUAAAUCUUUCUAUGAAACACUGAAAAGCCUCUUUGUGAAUUAAUACAGUUCUGCUUGAUGCAUUUGAUUUGAAAAGACAUUUCUCUGUAUGUGGCGCAUGUCGGCUGUGCUUUGAAAAAUAACAAAGUUAGCAGAAUACAUUCAAUAUAUUUUCUUGGGGAAUAGGGUUUUUAUCAUAUGACUCAUUAAGGAUUUGCCUUAUCCUGACAUUUGUGAUAUAAAGGAAAAUCAGAAAAAAAGUAAUUUUCUUGAUCAAGAUAUGUUUUUACUUAAUGCAAAUAAAUGUAGUCUGUUGCUUGCAAGGAAAAAAAUCUUCUGGUAUAAACUGCUCAAUAGGAUAAUACGUGCCUCUUUUGUUAAACCAGCCUUGAAAUGCUGGACUGCUUCUCAAUCCGUUUGUUUCUUUUCAUCUGUGCCAUACACUAAGACACUUAAACAACUGUUGCCUUCAUACUAUAUUUGUUAGAGCAGAGUGCAAAUAAAAUUCGUUUGAGAGGAUAAUGUGGAAUUAUCU
Molecule: long non-coding RNA, 1232 nt
Filed under: Marmota monax (woodchuck)
Lineage: Eukaryota; Metazoa; Chordata; Mammalia; Rodentia; Sciuridae
Source: RNAcentral